AAAGUCCCGUCCGAGGAGUUGUCCGUACGCCUCGGUAGCAUAAGGAAGCGUCGUCGUGGUAACACGGGGUCGUGAGUUUCCACACAGCAAGAGAGCAGGCCGUAACGCAAGUGAACCUAGACGUAGCCUCGUAAAUGAAUUGGAGAAGCCGACCCUGUGGUCAGAAGGGGAAGGCCGUUGGAUGGAUGCUGAAAUAACGGAAGUGGCAUCCAUCGACUUUUGGAUCGGAUAUGG
This 234-nucleotide non-coding RNA is filed under the name Candidatus Nitrotoga sp. BS. The record is from RNAcentral. Lineage: Bacteria; Pseudomonadati; Pseudomonadota; Betaproteobacteria; Nitrosomonadales; Gallionellaceae.